This 253-nucleotide ribosomal RNA is filed under the name uncultured bacterium. RNAcentral describes it as "partial 16S ribosomal RNA". It matches the Rfam family "Bacterial small subunit ribosomal RNA", at positions 524 to 776 of the family's 1533-position model. The record is from RNAcentral.
UACAGAGGGGGCAAGCGUUGUUCGGAAUUACUGGGCGUAAAGGGCGCGUAGGCGGCCUGCUAAGUCGAACGUGAAAUCCCCAGGCUCAACCUGGGAACUGCGUCUGAUACUGGAUGGCUUGAAUCCGGGAGAGGGAUGCGGAAUUCCAGGUGUAGCGGUGAAAUGCGUAGAUAUCUGGAGGAACACCGGUGGCGAAGGCGGCAUCCUGGACCAUAACUGACACUGAUAAGCGAAAGCCAGGGGAGCAAACGGG